AAGAAUAGAGGACACGAUCCCAACUGCUGAGGAAAUAGGCAGCUCCAGAGUUUCUAUGUAAAACUAGUUUAUGGGCAACAAUUUGAUUCUAAGACAUGCUACCUUUUUAUAGCAAGCAUACUUUUUAAUUUUUUAAAUUUAGCUUUUAUUUUUUUGGUGAAGCUCUGAAGGAGACAUUAAGACAUUCGUAGAGAUACCACAGACUAACAAGCUAUCCCUAGCCGGAUAGUCCACGUACGUACAGCAUUUAAAACGGAUCAUUUCUGUGUGCUUAGAAUUUAUUUCAAAGGUUAUGCAAAUCUUUUACAAAUAUUGCAUUUAUUCUUUCGAAACUGAAUACAAUGUGGCACUUAAAGUUCUGAUUGGCUAAGCCCUGGUCACGGUACAAGAGCAACCUUCCGGCUGUCUUAGAGACUCACGCAGCGUCCUUAGCAACCAGUCUUGGUCCCUAGCGACCCGGAGCGCCGCGGUGAGUGACUACUACGUCCCGCUUCUGACGGUUUGGGAGGGAAGGUUAUUGCCAUACUCACUAUCUUGGGACACCGAAUCCCCCACAAAUGGGAGUACUGAGCUUCCUUUCUCAGGGUCCCAUAGCUCUGGCUGUUGGAUUAAGCAUCUACAGGCGCCCGGGCCAGGCCCGCCAUCUUGGCUCCCCUGACAACCCCAGUGAUCUAGUCGGGGAAACCUCCUUCCAGGCUGGAAGCAGGCAGGUGGGGCAAUCAGCCACCGGGUCAUUUGAAGGGGAAAUAACUUUUGCAGGGGAGACUAAAGGAGAGUGCGGAUGAACUGCUGAGCAUCCAAACAGCUUACCGGAGCCACGUCAUGAGCUAGAACAUAUCUCUUUAUUGUGUAAAACUUUUUUGUUUUGAUGCCAGCAUAAAUCUUUAGGUUCAAGGUGAGUACCAGGUUUUUACUUAAGUAAUAAUUGCUUUGUUUGAACCCGUUUGAUCUUGGUGAAU
RNAcentral lists this long non-coding RNA (959 nucleotides) under Dasypus novemcinctus (nine-banded armadillo). Its description in RNAcentral is "lncRNA (ENSDNOG00000052222.1)". Lineage: Eukaryota; Metazoa; Chordata; Mammalia; Cingulata; Dasypodidae. The record is from RNAcentral.